RNAcentral lists this long non-coding RNA (319 nucleotides) under Elaeis guineensis (African oil palm). RNAcentral's name for it is "long non-coding RNA (EGUI_LNC058340)". Lineage: Eukaryota; Viridiplantae; Streptophyta; Magnoliopsida; Arecales; Arecaceae. The record is from RNAcentral.
UGGAGCCUUGUGUGGAUACUGUGAGGAAAAUUCAGUGCAGGGGUAAAAUGAUAUUUUUAAAAUUUUUUCAAAAUUACGAUUUUACAAGGGAAAGAUAUUAAUUAAUCUAAUUAAUUAACAUGAAUUUACCCUAUACUAAGAUCUAAAUAUGAUAUAUAGCAUGCAUUCAUUUAAAUUUAAAAUUCAAAUUCGAAUAGUAAAUACUUUACUGUAAUGUGUUCAGAACACAAUACUUUUGUGCGGGUAGUAGAUCACCGCAAUUUAAUCACCAUCAGGAGAGUCUGAUCUUCACGAUGCAGCCACACAGUGUGUCUGACCU